RNAcentral lists this ribosomal RNA (301 nucleotides) under uncultured bacterium. RNAcentral's name for it is "partial 16S ribosomal RNA". It matches the Rfam family "Bacterial small subunit ribosomal RNA", at positions 509 to 809 of the family's 1533-position model. The record is from RNAcentral.
CAGUAGCCGCGGUAAUACGUAGGGUGCAAGCGUUAAUCGGAAUUACUGGGCGUAAAGCGUGCGCAGGCGGUUAUAUAAGACAGAUGUGAAAUCCCCGGGCUCAACCUGGGAACUGCAUUUGUGACUGUAUAGCUAGAGUACGGCAGAGGGGGAUGGAAUUCCGCGUGUAGCAGUGAAAUGCGUAGAUAUGCGGAGGAACACCGAUGGCGAAGGCAAUCACCUGGGCCUGUACUGACGCUCAUGCACGAAAGCGUGGGGAGCAAACAGGAUUAGAUACCCCAGUAGUCCCUGUCUCUUAUAA